UGCCUCCAGUUUGCCAGACUCAACAGCAGAACAUGUGGAAGUCACACAGUCACACUAAAGCUUUGGAACAUCAACAUGAAGGGAAGCCAAGUCACCAUUUGCCGUGAGUCCCUGUGCCGUCAUGCGUCUCCUGUUCCUGGUGGUGUCUCUUCUCUGUCUCAUCUCCUGGUCUCCCAUAUUGGUUGAGUCAAGACCUGAUAGUGCAGAUGAAGCUUGUGCCCAAAGUGGUGGAGUCUGUCGCCCCAACUGCCCAAUGAUGGUGCCGUCAGGAAAGUGCAAUUUUGUGCCUUGCUGCAAGUAUCUCAGAGGCUGAUGCACCAAUAUCUGCAAUGUAUCAACUUGUGUGAUUUGGGUGAAUCUGAACAGAAAAGAAUAAAGGAAACAUGAAAUAAAAAA
This is a long non-coding RNA of Xenopus laevis (African clawed frog), 396 nucleotides long. RefSeq lists it as uncharacterized. NCBI's taxonomy places the organism in Eukaryota, Metazoa, Chordata, Amphibia, Anura, Pipidae. The transcript is spliced from 3 exons. The record is from RefSeq and is a predicted model, not a curated record.